This 497-nucleotide ribosomal RNA is filed under the name uncultured bacterium. RNAcentral describes it as "partial 16S ribosomal RNA". It matches the Rfam family "Bacterial small subunit ribosomal RNA", at positions 28 to 507 of the family's 1533-position model. The record is from RNAcentral.
GAUGAACGCUGGCGGCGUGCCUAAUACAUGCAAGUCGAGCGAACAGACGAGGAGCUUGCUCCUCUGACGUUAGCGGCGGACGGGUGAGUAACACGUGGAUAACCUACCUAUAAGACUGGGAUAACUUCGGGAAACCGGAGCUAAUACCGGAUAAUAUAUUGAACCGCAUGGUUCAAUAGUGAAAGACGGUUUUGCUGUCACUUAUAGAUGGAUCCGCGCCGCAUUAGCUAGUUGGUAAGGUAACGGCUUACCAAGGCAACGAUGCGUAGCCGACCUGAGAGAGUGAUCGGCCACACUGGAACUGAGACACGGUCCAGACUCCUACGGGAGGCAGCAGUAGGGAAUCGUCCGCAAAGGGCGAAAGCUUGACGGAGCAACGCCGCGUGAGUGAUGAAGGUCUUCGGAUCGGAAAACUCUGUUAUUAGGGAAGAACAAAUGUGUAAGUAACUAUGCACGUCUUGACGGUACCUAAUCAGAAAGCCACGGCUAACUACGUG